RNAcentral lists this ribosomal RNA (301 nucleotides) under uncultured bacterium. RNAcentral describes it as "partial 16S ribosomal RNA". It matches the Rfam family "Bacterial small subunit ribosomal RNA", at positions 509 to 807 of the family's 1533-position model. The record is from RNAcentral.
CAGCAGCCGCGGGAAUACAGAGGGUGCAAGCGUUAAUCGGAAUUACUGGGCGUAAAGCGCGCGUAGGUGGUUUGUUAAGUUGAAUGUGAAAUCCCCGGGCUCAACCUGGGAACUGCAUCCAAAACUGGCAAGCUAGAGUAGGGCAGAGGGUGGUGGAAUUUCCUGUGUAGCGGUGAAAUGCGUAGAUAUAGGAAGGAACACCAGUGGCGAAGGCGACCACCUGGGCUCAUACUGACACUGAGGUGCGAAAGCGUGGGGAGCAAACAGGAUUAGAUACCCCAGUAGUCCCUGUCUCUUAUAC